Passer domesticus (house sparrow) is the source of this 775-nucleotide long non-coding RNA. RefSeq lists it as uncharacterized. NCBI's taxonomy places the organism in Eukaryota, Metazoa, Chordata, Aves, Passeriformes, Passeridae. The record is from RefSeq and is a predicted model, not a curated record. The transcript is spliced from 3 exons.
UGCAGCUGGAGAUGGAGCCCAGAAUAGCACUGAGAGUAGCACAGGGAAGCUGGCUGGUCUGGACCUGGCUGACUUUGACACCUGAGAUACAGUCCAGGCUGGUAAGAAGAAACACAAGCACUGGGCACCUCCUUUGGAAGGGAAACUCAACACCUGGGCAGUGAUGUGAAAGCUGUGCUCAGGGUGGAAGCCAGUAAGACCACAGGCAGCAGAAGAGGAAUUGGCUUGGAGGCAUCUUCUACAGUUGUACUGCAAGCAGGGCUGCUGUUGUACCAGGUACCAUACACUGCAGAACCCUGGGAAUGACAUUAUUUACUGCAACUCAGUUGGUCAGCAAACAGAAACACUUCAUCUCAGUUAUUAUUACUAAUGGCAUGGAAAAAAAUAUAUCAAAACCUCUUGUUCUGCAACAAAAUACUUUUUCACUGGGAAUCAGAUGUAUUGAAAGAAGCAUUUGAAAACUGAUACCAUUUAUUCCUCUUAAAAGCAAAGUCACCUUUACAAGGAAAAUAACUCCAGUUUGAUCUUUCCACCUUCUCAUACCAUGACAAUUUUAUCACUCAUUCACUAAAUAUAACACAAGUUAAAGCAGUGUGCCUUUUAUAACCAAAGAGGUCAAGACCUUGAGCUAUUUCAAUGAAGUGUGUUUUCCAGACAUCUACAAGUUUUGUGGCAAGGGUUUUUCAUUGCCAUAUCACGCUUACAGGGGAAGUUAAACUUCAACUGAUCCCAUGCUUAAGUGAAAAGGCUCAGUUUUGGUUUCCUGUUGGGACUU